Long non-coding RNA from Acinonyx jubatus (cheetah), 645 nucleotides. RefSeq lists it as uncharacterized. The transcript has 5 exons. NCBI's taxonomy places the organism in Eukaryota, Metazoa, Chordata, Mammalia, Carnivora, Felidae. The record is from RefSeq and is a predicted model, not a curated record.
AAUAAAUGGAUUGUUACAUGUAACAACAUGGAUGCAUCUCAAAGUAACUAUGCUGAGUAAAAGAAGAUAGACUAAAACAGAACAUACUGUAUAAUUUCUAUAAAACUAGAAAAGGCAAACAUCUUCAGACAAAUAAUGCAUCCCUGAUUGCCAGGGACAGGAAAGAUGGGAGGAAAGAACUAUAAAAGGACCAAGGAAACUUUUGAGGGCAUACCAUUGGAACCCUUUGUUCCUUCAUGCUACUGGAACGAUUUGAAAAUGCCAGUUCCAGAUAAGAAAACUGAGACACAGAGAGACUUAGUAAAUUUCCUCAAUUCAUUCAGAUGGUGAGGACACAAUGAGAUGUCCUUCUGCAAACCAGAAGAGGGCCUUCACUAGACACUGGAUCUACCAGCACCUUGAUCCUGGAUGUCCCAGAUUUUAGAAUUGCCACUCAGACCUUGUCUCCCAGGAAUUUGAAUCCCAGCCACUGACACAGGAGGGAAAAUGGGAGGAGAUGAAGCACACCAAUUGCAGUGUCACGGACAGAUUUCCCUCCUUUCCUGCCAACUUUCCUGGGUCCUGUCCUUUGCAAAAGCUGGUUGUUUUGUUCUCUUUUUGGUUUAUGAAUUGCCAUGAAUCCUUUCAAUAAAAUCCUUUUGUUUC